CUGGGCACUGUCUCAACGAGAGACUCGGUGAAAUUAUAGUACCUGUGAAGAUGCAGGUUACCCGCGACAGGACGGAAAGACCCCGUGGAGCUUUACUGCAGCCUGAUAUUGAAUUUUGGUACAGCUUGUACAGGAUAGGUAGGAGCCUGAGAAGCCGGAGCGCUAGCUUCGGUGGAGGCGGUGGUGGGAUACUACCCUGGCUGUAUUGAAAUUCUAACCCGCGCCCCUUAUCGGGGUGGGAGACAGUGUCAGGUGGGCAGUUUGACUGGGGCGGUCGCCUCCUAAAGAGUAACGGAGGCGCCCAAAGGUUCCCUCAGAAUGGUUGGAAAUCAUUCGUAGAGUGUAAAGGCACAAGGGAGCUUGACUGCGAGACCUA
RNAcentral lists this ribosomal RNA (376 nucleotides) under Bacillus sp. mrc49. RNAcentral's name for it is "bacterial LSU rRNA". It matches the Rfam family "Bacterial large subunit ribosomal RNA", at positions 2009 to 2384 of the family's 2925-position model. Lineage: Bacteria; Bacillati; Bacillota; Bacilli; Caryophanales; Bacillaceae. The record is from RNAcentral.